GAUUACCUUAGUAACGGCGAGUGAAGCGGUAACAGCUCAAAUUUGAAAUCUGGGUCUUUUAGGCUCCGAGUUGUAAUUUGUAGAAGAUGCUUUGGGUGCGGCCCCGGUCUAAGUUCCUUGGAACAGGACGUCAUAGAGGGUGAGAAUCCCGUAUGUGAUCGGUGGCUUGCGCCCGUGUAAAGCUCUUUCGACGAGUCGGGUUGUUUGGGAAUGCAGCUCUAAAUGGGUGGUAAAUUUCAUCUAAAGCUAAAUAUUGGCCAGAGACCGAUAGCGCACAAGUAGAGUGAUCGAAAGAUGAAAAGCACUUUGGAAAGAGAGUUAAACAGUACGUGAAAUUGUUGAAAGGGAAGCGCUUGCAACCAGACUUGCGCGGGGUUGAUCAUCCGGGGUUCUCCCCGGUGCACUCGGCCUCGCUCAGGCCAGCAUCGGUUUUGGUGGUUGGAUAAAGGCCUUGGGAAUGUGACUUCUUUCGGGGAGUGUUAUAGCCCUCGGUGCAAUGCAGCCUACCGGGACCGAGGACCGCGCUUCGGCUAGGAUGCUGGCGUAAUGGUUGUAAGCGACCCGUCUUGAAACACGGACCAAGGAGUCUAACAUCUAUGCGAGUGUUUGGGUGUCAAACCCAUACGCGUAAUGAAAGUGAACGGAGGUGAGAACCCUUAAGGGUGCAUCAUCGACCGAUCCUGAUGUCUUCGGAUGGAUUUGAGUAAGAGCAUAGCUGUUGGGACCCGAAAGAUGGUGAACUAUGCCUGAAUAGGGUGAAGCCAGAGGAAACUCUGGUGGAGGCUCGCAGCGGUUCUGACGUGCAAAUCGAUCGUCAAAUUUGGGCAUAGGGGCGAAAGACUAAUCGAACCAUCUAGUAGCUGGCU
This 866-nucleotide ribosomal RNA is filed under the name Pezicula cinnamomea. Its description in RNAcentral is "eukaryotic LSU rRNA". It matches the Rfam family "Eukaryotic large subunit ribosomal RNA", at positions 73 to 956 of the family's 3401-position model. Lineage: Eukaryota; Fungi; Ascomycota; Leotiomycetes; Helotiales; Dermateaceae. The record is from RNAcentral.